UGUGAACUCGAAGAGUAGGGCGGGACACGUGGUAUCCUGUCUGAAUAUGGGGGGACCAUCCUCCAAGGCUAAAUACUCCUGACUGACCGAUAGUGAACCAGUACCGUGAGGGAAAGGCGAAAAGAACCCCGGCGAGGGGAGUGAAAAAGAACCUGAAACCGUGUACGUACAAGCAGUGGGAGCACCUUCGGGUGUGACUGCGUACCUUUUGUAUAAUGGGUCAGCGACUUAUAUUCUGUAGCAAGGUUAACCGUAUAGGGGAGCCGCAGGGAAACCGAGUCUUAACUGGGCGUUAAGUUGCAGGGUAUAGACCCGAAACCCGGUGAUCUAGCCAUGGGCAGGUUGAAGGUUGGGUAACACUAACUGGAGGACCGAACCGACUAAUGUUGAAAAAUUAGCGGAUGACUUGUGGCUGGGGGUGAAAGGCCAAUCAAACCGGGAGAUAGCUGGUUCUCCCCGAAAGCUAUUUAGGUAGCGCCUCGUGAACUCAUCUUCGGGGGUAGAGCACUGUUUCGGCUAGGGGGUCAUCCCGACUUACCAACCCGAUGCAAACUACGAAUACCGAAGAAUGUUAUCACGGGAGACACACGGCGGGUGCUAACGUCCGUCGUGAAGAGGGAAACAACCCAGACCGCCAGCUAAGGUCCCAAAGUCAUGGUUAAGUGGGAAACGAUGUGGGAAGGCACAGACAGCCAGGAUGUUGGCUUAGAAGCAGCCAUCAUUUAAAGAAAGCGUAAUAGCUCACUGGUCGAGUCGGCCUGCGCGGAAGAUGUAACGGGGCUAAACCAUGCACCGAAGCUGCGGCAGCGACACUAUGUGUUGUUGGGUAGGGGAGCGUUCUGUAAGCCUGCGAAGGUGUGCUGUGAGGCAUGCUGGAGGUAUCAGAAGUGCGAAUGCUGACAUAAGUAACGAUAAAGCGGGUGAAAAGCCCGCUCGCCGGAAGACCAAGGGUUCCUGUCCAACGUUAAUCGGGGCAGGGUGAGUCGACCCCUAAGGCGAGGCCGAAAGGCGUAGUCGAUGGGAAACAGGUUAAUAUUCCUGUACUUGGUGUUACUGCGAAGGGGGGACGGAGAAGGCUAUGUUAGCCGGGCGACGGUUGUCCCGGUUUAAGCAUGUAGGCUGAUUGUCCAGGCAAAUCCGGAUAAUCAAGGCUGAGGUGUGAUGACGAGGCACUACGGUGCUGAAGUAACAAAUGCCCUGCUUCCAGGAAAAGCCUCUAAGCAUCAGGUAACAUCAAAUCGUACCCCAAACCGACACAGGUGGUCAGGUAGAGAAUACCAAGGCGCUUGAGAGAACUCGGGUGAAGGAACUA
Molecule: ribosomal RNA, 1312 nt
Filed under: Klebsiella pneumoniae
Lineage: Bacteria; Pseudomonadati; Pseudomonadota; Gammaproteobacteria; Enterobacterales; Enterobacteriaceae
Description: partial 23S ribosomal RNA
Rfam family: Bacterial large subunit ribosomal RNA
Source: RNAcentral